AGAACGAACGCUGGCGGCAUGCCUAACACAUGCAGGUCGAACGAAGCCUUCGGGCUUAGUGGCGCACGGGUGCGUAACACGUGGGAAUCUGCCCUUAGGUACGGAAUAACUCAGGGAAACUUGAGCUAAUACCGUAUGAUGUCUUCGGACCAAAGAUUUAUCGCCUAAGGAUGAGCCCGCGUCGGAUUAGCUAGUUGGUGGGGUAAAGGCCUACCAAGGCGACGAUCCGUAGCUGGUCUGAGAGGAUGAUCAGCCACACUGGGACUGAGACACGGCCCAGACUCCUACGGGAGGUAGCAGUGGGGAAUAGUUGGACAAUGGGCGAAAGCCUGAUCCAGCAAGUGCCGCGUGAGUAGAAGAAGGCCUUCGGGUGUAAAGCUACGUUUACCCGGAAGAUAAUGACUGUACCGGAGAAGUAACGACCCGUCAACCUUCCGUGCCAG
This 443-nucleotide ribosomal RNA is filed under the name uncultured soil bacterium. Its description in RNAcentral is "bacterial SSU rRNA". It matches the Rfam family "Bacterial small subunit ribosomal RNA", at positions 26 to 511 of the family's 1533-position model. The record is from RNAcentral.